UAAAUAAAGAAACUCUUGCCUAAACCUGGUCCAUUAUGAAUUUAAAACAAAAAUAUAUGAGACCUAUAUAUUUAAUAGAUAAGUCUCACCAUGUCUCUUGUAUCUUGAAUCCAUGAUGGACCGUGUUUAAGUAAGAAAAC
RNAcentral lists this microRNA precursor (140 nucleotides) under Hevea brasiliensis (rubber tree). RNAcentral's name for it is "miR6172 stem-loop (hbr-MIR6172)". The record is from miRBase by way of RNAcentral. Lineage: Eukaryota; Viridiplantae; Streptophyta; Magnoliopsida; Malpighiales; Euphorbiaceae.